RNAcentral lists this ribosomal RNA (445 nucleotides) under uncultured bacterium. RNAcentral describes it as "partial 16S ribosomal RNA". It matches the Rfam family "Bacterial small subunit ribosomal RNA", at positions 354 to 796 of the family's 1533-position model. The record is from RNAcentral.
GUGAGGAAUAUUGGACAAUGGGCGCAAGCCUGAUCCAGCCAUGCCGCGUGCAGGAAGACGCAUCUAUGGUGUGUAAACUGCUUUUGUACGGGAAGAACCACUCCCUCGUGAGGGAGCUUGACGGUACCGUAAGAAUAAGGAUCGGCUAACUCCGUGCCAGCAGCCGCGGUAAUACGGAGGAUCCAAGCGUUAUCCGGAAUCAUUGGGUUUAAAGGGUCCGUAGGCGGUUUAAUAAGUCAGUGGUGAAAGCCCAUCGCUCAACGAUGGAACGGCCAUUGAUACUGUUAGACUUGAAUUACAAGGAAGUAACUAGAAUAUGUAGUGUAGCGGUGAAAUGCUUAGAUAUUACAUGGAAUACCAAUUGCGAAGGCAGGUUACUACUUGUGGAUUGACGCUGAUGGACGAAAGCGUGGGGAGCGAACAGGAUUAGAAACCCUGGUAGUCC